Molecule: transfer RNA, 61 nt
Filed under: Terrisswalkerius canaliculatus
Lineage: Eukaryota; Metazoa; Annelida; Clitellata; Crassiclitellata; Megascolecidae
Description: tRNA-Asp
Source: RNAcentral
AAAUGCUAGUUAAAUUAUAAUAAAGUCUUGUCAAGACUUGGUUACCAAGCGGUGUAUUUCA